Molecule: long non-coding RNA, 1140 nt
Filed under: Ananas comosus (pineapple)
Lineage: Eukaryota; Viridiplantae; Streptophyta; Magnoliopsida; Poales; Bromeliaceae
Description: long non-coding RNA (ACOM_LNC022329)
Source: RNAcentral
AUCGUCUUAGUCAUUUCUGAUUUUUAGUGUAAUGCUUUGAUAGAUGCUUGUUGCAUAAUUUUAUUCAUUGCAUUACAUGUUUAAAUAAUUUUUGGUGCAUUGAAUUUUUGUUUAUUUAAAAAUUAUUUUGAGGAAAGGUGUUUAGGAAUUCAAAAUUUUCGAGAAAAGAGAUGAUUGAGAUCCAUGAUUUUGGAGAGAGAAAUUUUUUUUAAAAAAAGGUGUUUGAACAGUGUUUAUCUUCACAAUGAUAAUUAAGUUAAAUUUAUAUUAAUUAUCGGUUUUACUCCACUUUUUAUUAUUUUGACGAUAAUUUAAUAUAUGAUUUCUUAAUGCAUAUAUUUAUCAAAACUUUGAAAUCAAAUUUGAUUUUUUGGUGAUUAAUUCAUCUUGGUUGUGAGUGUUGGAUAUGAUGAAUGGAUAUUCUCUAAUUGACUAAAAUUCGUCAAAAUUAUUUUCAACUGUGAGAUUGUCUAAUUUAGGGGGAGUUUGAAAUUGUUUAAAAAUAAGAAAAGGGAGAAAAAGAAACUCCUAUGUUUAAAAGAUGUGGAAAGAGUUACAUCCUAAAAGGAGUGUGAAAACUACCACCACAUGUAGGAAAGAGCUAUCACUCCGGUCGUCCGGCAAGUGUGUGAAGCUACCACAUGGAAAUUAAUUGAAAAGUCGAAAAGGUUGGAAAAAGUUUAUAAAUAUUAAAAUUUUCGGAGUUAUAAGAUGGUAAGUUGAAAAGAUGCUCAAAGAGCCACCCCCGGUGCCAUAUUAGUUAAAUCUCUAUUUUGAAUGUGUUGCGACAAAUUGGUGUCAAUUUUGUUGAAUUUCUAAAAAUCAUUUUUCAUCAACUUACAUCUUGAUAGUUUUGAAUCAUUAAAUUAUUUUUGAUAUUGAAAUUUUGAUGUUUCGAUGUGUUUUGAAAUUUUAUAAUAUCUUAUUUUCAUUAUAAUGAUUUUUGGAGUAAAAGUCUUAAUUAUAUGAAUUUAAUUUAAAUUUGAUGGGUUUUUAAAUGAUAUUUUUUGAAAUUUUUUUUUUACAUUUUGGUCCUUGUACCGGUACAAGAAACCGUGUUCCGAUACAAGGUCUGCGGCUGAGCGGCUUAUAUACGGGUAUAACGCUUCGAUCUCUCUCAAAUUUCCAUCUUUUUCGAAA